Non-coding RNA from Salmo salar (Atlantic salmon), 85 nucleotides. The record is from Rfam. Lineage: Eukaryota; Metazoa; Chordata; Actinopteri; Salmoniformes; Salmonidae.
CAGUGCAGUCAUCCAUAAAGUAGAAAGCACUACUAAACUCCUCGCCACAGUGUAGUGUUUCCUACUUUAUGGAUGAGUGUACUGU